This 465-nucleotide long non-coding RNA is filed under the name Monodelphis domestica (gray short-tailed opossum). Its description in RNAcentral is "lncRNA (ENSMODG00000034768.2)". Lineage: Eukaryota; Metazoa; Chordata; Mammalia; Didelphimorphia; Didelphidae. The record is from RNAcentral.
AGAAGAGCCUUGGGAGAUCUCAUUUUCUUUAGCUUUCUAAACCUUUAUUUUCUUGGCCCAAUAAACCUAUCUGGCUAUCAAUGAAGUCUGGCUCAAUUUAAUUAACUAUCCCUAGCAUAAGUACAGUCUAAAAAGAAAGGCCUGCAGGGGAGGACUCCCCCUCCUCUACCUUCUUCUCCUUCCUUUCCCUACCUUUCCCCUCCUACCCUUUCUCCUCCAUUUUUCUCUACACAUUAUUUGGUGACCUGAACCUACAACCAGCUCAACCUGCUUGCUGCUCUGCCUCACAAGUCUUUAGGUUACACUCUGGAUUUCAUUUACCAACCCCAGCUCUUCAUCUUGAAGUGUUACUCCAGUACUGAAAUAUAUAUACAUUGGAAUUGACUGAAAUUCAUACAGGUAAGUAAAAAAAAUCAUCUAUAACACAAUUUAGCAGUAAUAACAGACAUCAUAUUUAUCCAUGGC